CAGCAUGUUUCCAAGGGCUGUGGCUGGCUGUAGCCAUGGGAUCUCCAACUGCAUGCGAGAGCAACCUGGAGGGCCUUUGACAGCGCAGGCCAGCCCGUGCCUGCAGCUGCCACUCAGCUUUCCGAUAGUU
This is a small nucleolar RNA of Ochotona princeps (American pika), 130 nucleotides long. Lineage: Eukaryota; Metazoa; Chordata; Mammalia; Lagomorpha; Ochotonidae. The record is from Ensembl.